CAAAAACAUGUCUUUUUGUAAAAAUAUAAAGUCUAACCUGCCCUAUGAAAAUUUAAAUGGCCGCGGUAUAUUAACCGUGCUAAGGUAGCAUAAUCAUUAGUUUUUUAAUUGAAAGCUGGAAUGAAGGGUUGGAUAAAAAAAUAACUGUCUCUAUAAAAAUGAUUGAAUUUUAUUUUUAAGUUAAAAAGCUUAAAUUUUUUUAAAAGACGAGAAGACCCUAUAGAGUUUAAUAUAAAAUCUAAUUAUUUUUUUUAGUAUUUAUUUAAAUAAUUAGAUUUUAUAUUUAGUUGGGGUGAUUGAAAAAUUAAAUGAACUUUUUUUGUAUAAAAAUAUAUUUUUAUAAAUUAUUGAUCCAAAAAUUUUGAUUAUAAGAUAAAAUUACCUUAGGGAUAACAGCGUAAUUUUAUUAGAGAGUUCUUAUUGAUAAUAAAGAUUGCGACCUCGAUGUUGGAUUAAAAUUUAUAAUUGGUGCAGAAGCUAUAUUAUUAAGUCUGUUCGACUUUUAAAAUUUUACAUGAUCUGAG
Molecule: ribosomal RNA, 524 nt
Filed under: Monolepta signata
Lineage: Eukaryota; Metazoa; Arthropoda; Insecta; Coleoptera; Chrysomelidae
Description: partial large subunit ribosomal RNA
Rfam family: Bacterial large subunit ribosomal RNA
Source: RNAcentral